UUCUCCUUACACCCAUUUUUCUUCUUCUUCUCGAGAGUGGUGGAGGCAGGAAGUUGAAAGUCUUUCAAAGCUAGAAGGCGAACGUCGAUGUUCUUCAUACUCGUACCACCAGCCAUGAUGUCACUUGAGGAACCCAAGAGACGUUGAAUGAAAUGGAUAAAACUCAAAUUUUCAUUCCCUAUUUAUAAGUUGUUGCUAUCAUGGAGCAGAAAAAUUGGGAAACAAAUAUCUAUACAACAAAAAGGCCAACAAAAAUCUCAAAAGGAUAAAAAAUAGCUAGGAAUGGAGUCUCAGGCAAUCGAAAAGCGGGAUGUGGGUUGGCCAAGUGAUCUAUCAACUACACAGCGAAAUCGACCGACAGAUGUUGACCGAUGGACCUUUCACUAAAAUCGAUCGGAUUUCUUUGAUUGAUCUACUGGUCCCUUCGAUGGAGACAAUUUGGUAUAAGAAAAAGAGUUUAAGAGUAAAAAUGAGCAAAAAUACAUUAAAAAUAAGUUAAAUGGGCUAAAUUGAAGAAAAGUACCAUACUGGUCGAACUGGCGCCUAGACACCAAAUGCAAAAAUUGGGUGGCACCUAGGCCCGACAUUUGCGCACCUAGGCGCCACAGUUAUCUUCUAGAAGAUUUAUUGAAUGAGGCCGAAUUUUGAAGAGAUGUCUGAAGCAACCCUUGGUCAUUUUUGAAGCUCUAUAAAUACAGAUUAAUUCCAAGAGGCUAGGGGGUCAAAUCUAUAGAGUCAUAGUGGGUGAGUGUGUUAAGUGUGUGAGAAGUUUUCUUUUCUUUGUGAGUCUUUGUUAUUUUUGGAGUU
Molecule: long non-coding RNA, 807 nt
Organism: Phalaenopsis equestris
Lineage: Eukaryota; Viridiplantae; Streptophyta; Magnoliopsida; Asparagales; Orchidaceae
Exons: 3
Source: RefSeq, a predicted model, not a curated record